Molecule: unclassified non-coding RNA, 380 nt
Filed under: soil metagenome
Description: partial contains 5.8S ribosomal RNA, internal transcribed spacer 2, and large subunit ribosomal RNA
Rfam family: 5.8S ribosomal RNA (bases 1-120)
Source: RNAcentral
GAUGAAGAACGUAGCGAAAUGCGAUAAGUAAUGUGAAUUGCAGAAUUCAGUGAAUCAUCGAAUCUUUGAACGCACCUUGCACCCUUUGGCAUUCUGAAGGGUAUGCUCGUUUGAGUGUCAUUGUACUCUCACACUCCCGAUCUUUGCAUUGGGAGCAGUGGACUUGGGUUUGCUGCUUCACCGUCGCUUACCUCAAAUAGGUUAGUGCAACUCUUGGUUGGACAUAGUACGGCGUGAUAAGUGUUCUUCGCCGGUGCCUCGCAAAGUGGGUGGCCGAUCGGGAUGUUGUGCUCCAAACCGUCUUCGGACAAUCUCUGACGACUUGACCUCAAAUCGAGUAAGACUACCCGCUGAACUUAAGCAUAUCAAUAAGCGGAGGA